UUAAAGCCGUACACAUACACGAUUGCACAUUAUUUAGGUUGCGUUUGGCUUGAAAAUUAAAUUUUGGAGAAUAAUUUUUGUUGUUUUCGAGAACAGGAGAUAUUUUGGUAUAAACUAAAAUAAGUUGUAAAUUACGUUUGAAUGUUGUUUGUUUGUUUGUUUUUAGAAAAUAUUCUUGUUCUUGAUAGUGUUUGAAUGUUUAUGUUGGAAUAAAGUGUUAGAAAGAUAAAAAUUAAAUAAAAUGAUAAAUUUAUCCUUGAAUGUAAUAAUCAAAUAUGAUUUAAUAAAUUAAGUAUUGAAAUAAAUUAAUUUACAAAUUAAGUAUAUUUGUAUAUUAUUUUGAAAAUAUUAAUUUAGUAGUAUUCUAUUUAAGUAUUUAUUUAUUUUUUUCGAAACUAAUUUAAAAUGGAAUAGCAGUUAUUAAAUUAAAUUAAUUAUUUAAUCAAUUUUUUUUAAUUUACUAAAUUAAAUAUUAAUAAGUCAAAAUAGUAUGUCUCUUAUAAAUUAAAAAAAAAAUCCAAAAAAAAUUUUCCUAAAUAUUUUGAUCCUAUAAUUUUGCUCUCACCCUUUCUCUCCUCCCAUCCCGCAUCCCCUCGAGUUAUUACUAUAUUUCAAAUUCUGUAUAACCGUCUACAUUCAUCUAUCUGUUUCUAUUAGCAAUUAAUUUUCUAAAUUAGAAAACAGUUCCUCAUAAUUACAAUUGAUCAAUUAGUAUAAACUAUGAUAAUUUAUUGUCGAAUUAUACCAAAUACGAUCCAUAUUUUUUUUUCAAAAUAGGCUCGAUAAUUAUUGUCAUUUCUUACUAAAAAGAGCCUUUUCAAGUUGCCAUAUUUUUUUUCAUUAUAUUUCACAAAUUAACUUAUUAUUUGUUACUAUUUAAUGGCCCAUCACCUUUCGUUCUAACAAAACUACAUCUUAUUUAGUACAUGUAACGUUAAUUCUACUAGUUUAGGGCUUGCGCUUCGUGGCGGAUCAACAUCGGCAACCUAAAAUUUCAGUUUGAUUUUUGAUUUUAUAAUUGUAAAAAUAAUUUUUUUUAAAAAAUAAUUAUAAAAAUAGACCUCUAAAUACGGUCAAUAAUUUACCGCAUUCAUAACGUUUCAUUACGAGUAGAAAAAAAAUAAAAACAGUUAAUCAUUUACCGCUUUUAUAGAAUUAUAUUUACAAAUAAAAAUUUAACAGCUCUAUUUUAAGAAUAAAAUUUUAAAAAAAAAUUAUUGCACUAAAAAAUCCGAUGGGAUAUG
RNAcentral lists this long non-coding RNA (1244 nucleotides) under Ananas comosus (pineapple). RNAcentral's name for it is "long non-coding RNA (ACOM_LNC009530)". Lineage: Eukaryota; Viridiplantae; Streptophyta; Magnoliopsida; Poales; Bromeliaceae. The record is from RNAcentral.